AACAACCGUCGGGGCAUUCUCCUCCCCCAGCCCGGACGGUGCAAAGACCGACACUCCUCCCAGCCGGUCUUACAAGUAGCACCCACCGCUCCUCCCGCGGUGGGUGUUGUUU
RNAcentral lists this small RNA (112 nucleotides) under Phyllobacterium endophyticum. RNAcentral describes it as "Alphaproteobacterial ar14". It matches the Rfam family "Alphaproteobacterial ar14". From Rfam's summary of the family: Smr14C2 was renamed NfeR1 (Nodule Formation Efficiency RNA) highly expressed in salt stress and during the symbiotic interaction on legume roots. The record is from Rfam by way of RNAcentral. Lineage: Bacteria; Pseudomonadati; Pseudomonadota; Alphaproteobacteria; Hyphomicrobiales; Phyllobacteriaceae.